CACCCGAUUAUGGUCUUCCUUGGUAGAAGCAAAGGCAACAUUCAAGUAGUGGGAGUGCUUUUAUGAUUGGGGAUGGUAAACUCUUGACAAAUGCGCAUUGCGUUGAGCACGACACCCAGGUCAAAGUAAAGAGAAGGGGAGAUGACAAAAAGUAUAUUGCCAAGGUUUUAGCUAGGGGUGUUGAAUGCGAUCUUGCGUUGCUAUCUGUUGAGAAUGAAGAGUUCUGGAGAGGAACAGAGGCACUUCAUUUUGGUCGCUUGCCAUGC
Long non-coding RNA from Zea mays, 266 nucleotides. RefSeq lists it as uncharacterized. The transcript is spliced from 4 exons. The record is from RefSeq and is a predicted model, not a curated record. Lineage: Eukaryota; Viridiplantae; Streptophyta; Magnoliopsida; Poales; Poaceae.